UGAGCCCUAGCAGUAUCCUGAGUACGGCGAGACACGUGAAAUCUCGUUGGAAUCUGGGAGGACCAUCUCCCAACCCUAAAUACUCUCUAGUGACCGAUAGUGAACCAGUACCGUGAGGGAAAGGUGAAAAGCACCCCGGGAGGGGAGUGAAAUAGAACCUGAAACCGUGUGCCUACAACAAGUUCGAGCCCGUUAAUGGGUGAGAGCGUGCCUUUUGUAGAAUGAACCGGCGAGUUACGAUAUGAUGCGAGGUUAAGUUGAAGAGACGGAGCCGUAGGGAAACCGAGUCUUAAUAGGGCGAUUUAGUAUCAUGUUGUAGACCCGAAACCAUGUGACCUACCCAUGAGCAGGUUGAAGGUGAGGUAAAACUCACUGGAGGACCGAACCAGGGCACGUUGAAAAGUGCUUGGAUGACUUGUGGGUAGCGGAGAAAUUCCAAACGAACUUGGAGAUAGCUGGUUCUCUCCGAAAUAGCUUUAGGGCUAGCGUCGAUGUUAAGUCUCUUGGAGGUAGAGCACUGUUUGGGUGAGGGGUCCAUCUCGGAUUACCAAUCUCAGAUAAACUCCGAAUGCCAACGAGAUAUCAUCGGCAGUCAGACUGCGAGUGCUAAGAUCCGUAGUCGAAAGGGAAACAGCCCAGACCACCAGCUAAGGUCCCAAAAUAACUGUUAAGUGGAAAAGGAUGUGGGGUUGCACAGACAACUAGGAUGUUAGCUUAGAAGCAGCUAUUCAUUCAAAGAGUGCGUAAUAGCUCACUAGUCGAGUGACCCUGCGCCGAAAAUGUACCGGGGCUAAAACAGUUUACCGAAGCUGUGGAUGACACAAAAGUGUCAUGGUAGGAGAGCGUUCUAUGUGUGAAGAAGGUGUACCGUGAGGAGCGCUGGAACGCAUAGAAGUGAGAAUGCCGGUAUGAGUAGCGAAAGACAGGUGAGAAUCCUGUCCACCGUAAGACUAAGGUUUCCAGGGGAAGGCUCGUCCGCCCUGGGUUAGUCGGGACCUAAGGAGAGACCGAAAGGUGUAUCCGAUGGCCAACAGGUUGAUAUUCCUGUACUAGAGUAUAUAGUGAUGGAGGGACGCAGUAGGCUAACUAAACCGGACGAUUGGAAGAGUCCGGCUAAGCAGUGAGGUGUAAGAUGAGUCAAAUGCUUAUCUUUAUAACAUUGAGCUGUGAUGGGGAGCGAAUUUUAGUAGCGAAGUUAGUGAUGUCACACUGCCAAGAAAAGCUUCUAGCGUUUAAUGAUACUCUACCCGUACCGCAAACCGACACAGGUAGUCGAGGCGAGUAGCCUCAGGUGAUCGAGAGAACUCUCGUUAAGGAACUCGGCAAAAUGACCCCGUAACUUCGGGAGAAGGGGUGCUGACUUAGGUCAGCCGCAGUGAAUAGGCCCAAGCAACUGUUUAUCAAAAACACAGCUCUCUGCUAAAUCGUAAGAUGAUGUAUAGGGGGUGACGCCUGCCCGGUGCUGGAAGGUUAAGAGGAGGGUUUAGCGCAAGCGAAGAUCUGAAUUGAAGCCCCAGUAAACGGCGGCCGUAACUAUAACGGUCCUAAGGUAGCGAAAUUCCUUGUCGGGUAAGUUCCGACCCGCACGAAAGGCGUAAUGAUUUGGGCACUGUCUCAACGAGAGACUCGGUGAAAUUUUAGUACCUGUGAAGAUGCAGGUUACCCGCGACAGGACGGAAAGACCCCAUGGAGCUUUACUGCAGUUUGAUAUUGAGUAUCUGUACCACAUGUACAGGAUAGGUAGGAGCCAUUGACUUCGGGACGCCAGUUUCGAAUGAGGCGCUGUUGGGAUACUACCCUUGUGUUAUGGCUACUCUAACCCAGAUAGGUUAUCCCUAUCGGAGACAGUGUCUGACGGGCAGUUUGACUGGGGCGGUCGCCUCCUAAAGAGUAACGGAGGCGCCCAAAGGUUCCCUCAGAUUGGUUGGAAAUCAAUCGCAGAGUGUAAAGGUAUAAGGGAGCUUGACUGCGAGAGCUACAACUCGAGCAGGGACGAAAGUCGGGCUUAGUGAUCCGGUGGUACCGAAUGGAAGGGCCAUCGCUCAACGGAUAAAAGCUACCCUGGGGAUAACAGGCUUAUCUCCCCCAAGAGUUCACAUCGACGGGGAGGUUUGGCACCUCGAUGUCGGCUCGUCGCAUCCUGGGGCUGUAGUCGGUCCCAAGGGUUGGGCUGUUCGCCCAUUAAAGCGGCACGCGAGCUGGGUUCAGAACGUCGUGAGACAGUUCGGUCCCUAUCCGUCGCGGGCGUAGGAAAUUUGAGAGGAUCUGCUCCUAGUACGAGAGGACCAGAGUGGACUUACCGCUGGUGUACCAGUUGUCUUGCCAAAGGCAUCGCUGGGUAGCUAUGUAGGGAAGGGAUAAGCGCUGAAAGCAUCUAAGUGCGAAGCCCCCCUCAAGAUGAGAUUUCCCAUGAUUUUAUAUCAGUAAGAGCCCUGAGAGAUGAUCAGGUAGAUAGGUUAGGAGUGUAAGUGUAGCGAUACAUGUAGCGGACUAAUACUAAUAGCUCGAGGACUUAUCCAA
RNAcentral lists this ribosomal RNA (2520 nucleotides) under Streptococcus pyogenes ABC020052203. RNAcentral's name for it is "bacterial LSU rRNA". It matches the Rfam family "Bacterial large subunit ribosomal RNA", at positions 391 to 2925 of the family's 2925-position model. The record is from RNAcentral. Lineage: Bacteria; Bacillati; Bacillota; Bacilli; Lactobacillales; Streptococcaceae.